Molecule: long non-coding RNA, 389 nt
Filed under: Heterocephalus glaber (naked mole-rat)
Lineage: Eukaryota; Metazoa; Chordata; Mammalia; Rodentia; Bathyergidae
Description: lncRNA (ENSHGLG00000033691.1)
Source: RNAcentral
GGACCCCUCCUCCAAAUGAGUAAUCAGAAGAUGGGACUGGCCAGCGAAGAUGAAAGUGGAGCAAAGAAGGAAGGCUGGUAGAGAAUGAAGAGGAGGUCAUUUUCUCUCCAGCUGAGGUCACCGAGUCUGGGCCCCAUGAGAGCUCACAACAGCCCCAGGAUGCACCUCCUCCACCCUGGAUGCCCUCAGCAUUCUGGCUCCAGCCCACAGACGCCACACCCAGAAGAAAAAGCAAAAGAGGUUUCCGUCUGUGCCAGAGAAGCAGUGAUCUGCAAAGGGAAGGAGAUGCAUCUGCAGCCAGAAGCCCUGGGCUUGGAUUCCAUCCCCUUGGAGCCCUUAAUUCACCUACAAGAUGCUGCCUGGCCACCAAGCCCCAGGGGGAGUUGAGC